Molecule: ribosomal RNA, 589 nt
Filed under: uncultured soil bacterium
Lineage: Bacteria
Description: bacterial SSU rRNA
Rfam family: Bacterial small subunit ribosomal RNA
Source: RNAcentral
GCAGUCGACGGGGUGGCGGGGCAACUCGUCAUUCAGUGGCGAACGGGUGAGUAAUGCAUCGGAACGUGUCCCGUAGUGGGGGAUAACUCGGCGAAAGCCGAGCUAAUACCGCAUACGCUCUGUGGAGGAAAGCAGGGGAUCGCAAGACCUUGCGCUAUCGGAGCGGCCGAUGUCAGAUUAGCUUGUUGGUGGGGUAAAAGCCUACCAAGGCGACGAUCUGUAGCUGGUCUGAGAGGACGACCAGCCACACUGGGACUGAGACACGGCCCAGACUCCUACGGGAGGCAGCAGUGGGGAAUUUUGGACAAUGGGCGCAAGCCUGAUCCAGCCAUGCCGCGUGCGGGAAGAAGGCCUUCGGGUUGUAAACCGCUUUUGUCAGGGAAGAAACGCUCUGGGCUAAUAUCCCGGAGUAAUGACGGUACCUGAAGAAUAAGCACCGGCUAACUACGUGCCAGCAGCCGCGGUAAUACGUAGGUGCAAGCGUUAAUCGGAAUUACUGGGCGUAAAGCGUGCGCAGCGGCUUUGCAAGACAGAUGUGAAAUCCCCGGGCUUAACUUGGAACUGCAUUUGUGACUGCAUGGCUGGAGUG